AGGACGAACGCUGGCGGCGUGCUUAACACAUGCAAGUCGAGCGGAAAGGCCCUUCGGGGUACUCGAGCGGCGAACGGGUGCGUAACACGUGAGCGACCUUGCCUCGUGGUGGGGGAUAGCCGGCCCAACGGCCGGGUAAUACCGCAUAUGGUAGUUUCUUCGCAUGGGGAGACUAGCAAAGCCUUGCAGCAAUGCAAUGGCGCCACAGGGGGGGCUCGCGGCCUAUCAGCUAGUUGGGGGGGUAAUGGCCCACCAAGGCGACGACGGGUAGC
RNAcentral lists this ribosomal RNA (272 nucleotides) under uncultured bacterium. RNAcentral describes it as "partial small subunit ribosomal RNA". It matches the Rfam family "Bacterial small subunit ribosomal RNA", at positions 26 to 287 of the family's 1533-position model. The record is from RNAcentral.